This 74-nucleotide transfer RNA is filed under the name Staphylococcus aureus. Its description in RNAcentral is "tRNA-Cys". It matches the Rfam family "tRNA". Rfam says of the family: Transfer RNA (tRNA) molecules are approximately 80 nucleotides in length. Their secondary structure includes four short double-helical elements and three loops (D, anti-codon, and T loops). Lineage: Bacteria; Bacillati; Bacillota; Bacilli; Caryophanales; Staphylococcaceae. The record is from RNAcentral.
GGCGGCAUAGCCAAGUGGUAAGGAAGAGGUCUGCAGAACCUCUCUCACCGGUUCCAAUACCGUUGCCGCCUCCA